UACGGAAGGCAGCAGUGGGGAAUAUUGCACAAUGGGCGCAAGCCUGAUGCAGCUAUGCCGCGUGUAUGAAGAAGGCCUUAGGGUUGUAAAGUACUUUCAUCGGGGAGGAAAAACAAAACUAAUAAUUUUAUUUUCUUGACGUUACCCGAAAAAGAAGCACCGGCUAACUCCGUGCCAGCAGCCGCGGUAAUACGGAGGGUGCUAGCGUUAAUCAGAAUUACUGGGCGUAAAGAGCACGUAGGUGGUUUUUUUAAGUUCAGAUGUGAAAUCCCUGGGCUUAACCUAGGAACUGCAUUUUGAAACUGAAAUACUAGAGUAUCGUAGAGGGAGGUAGAAUUCUAGGUGUAGCGGUGAAAUGCGUAGAUAUCUGGAGGAAUACCUGUGGCGAAAGCGGCCUCCUAAACGAAUACUGACACUGAGGUGCGAAAGCGUGGGGAGCAAACAGGGAUUAGAUACC
This 457-nucleotide ribosomal RNA is filed under the name uncultured bacterium. RNAcentral's name for it is "bacterial SSU rRNA". It matches the Rfam family "Bacterial small subunit ribosomal RNA", at positions 340 to 786 of the family's 1533-position model. The record is from RNAcentral.